This 874-nucleotide long non-coding RNA is filed under the name Ananas comosus (pineapple). RNAcentral's name for it is "long non-coding RNA (ACOM_LNC044249)". Lineage: Eukaryota; Viridiplantae; Streptophyta; Magnoliopsida; Poales; Bromeliaceae. The record is from RNAcentral.
UAAGCAUAUCGAAUAGCGGGUAUAUUUUAAAAAAUUUAAUUAUUUUUAUUUUAUAUACUUGUAAAAAUUUUAAUAUUUUUAAAUAUAUUCCUGUUGUUAGGACUAUUAAAAAAAAUAUAGUUAAUCGUGAGUAAAAUACUUAACCUUAAUUAGUGGAUGAGUUAAAUUAAUUUUUUUACCCUUUAUAUUAUUGGAUGAAAUAUUUUUUAAGAUAAUAUUUCUAUAUAAUUUUAACAAUUGAGACCUUAGAGAGAUAUAUUUGUAAGGGCGAAAAUGUCAUUUUAUUUAUCUGCUAUUAAAAAAUAAAUGAUGCUCUAACAGGAAUAAACCAAGGGGCAAAUAUGAAUAUUACUGGACUUUUGUAGGGAUAAAAAUAAAAAAGUUGAAUUUUGCAGAAAUAUAUUUGUUAUUCUAUAUAUUUAUAGGGAGCUAUAUGUAAUUAACCCAAAAAAUUAAUUGGAAGACGGCCAAUCGUUUAGCGUCUUUAAUAUAAGACAGUGAAUCAUUUACUAUCUUUCCAUUAAUAAGAAAAAUAGUCGGCGAUUUAUCGUUUCUUUCUAUUUUAUAUAUAUAAUCCUAACAAAACAGUGAAUGAUUCACCACUUUCUAAAGGCACUAAACGAUUUAUUGUAUUCCUCAUUUUUGUCCAAUAUGGCAUUGAAUUGACAUAAAACAGUUAGUUGGCCAAAUAAAAUUUUAAAACGAUCAUUUAGCAAAUUAGAAAUUUUUAUUUGGUUAUUGUAAAAAAAGUGUAACAUACUGGAUCUUAUCAAGUGGGCAAGGUCACAGUAGAAAUGGUUGGCCAAUACGUCCAUAGAAUGUUGGACUGAGUUGGAGUCCUUUUGACAUGAAAUUGACGAAAAAUGGUCUAGGG